RNAcentral lists this ribosomal RNA (403 nucleotides) under uncultured prokaryote. RNAcentral describes it as "bacterial SSU rRNA". It matches the Rfam family "Bacterial small subunit ribosomal RNA", at positions 355 to 776 of the family's 1533-position model. The record is from RNAcentral. RNAcentral also lists the same sequence under 1 other name.
UGGGGGAUAUUGCACAAUGGAGGAAACUCUGAUGCAGCGACGCCGCGUGAGGGAAGAAGGUUUUCGGAUUGUAAACCUCUGUCUUUAGUGACGAUAAUGACGGUAGCUAAAGAGGAAGCCACGGCUAACUACGUGCCAGCAGCCGCGGUAAUACGUAGGUGGCAAGCGUUGUCCGGAAUUACUGGGUGUAAAGGGAGCGUAGGCGGGACUGUAAGUUGGAUGUUUAAUCUAUCGGCUCAACCGAUAUUCGCAUUCAAAACUGCAGUUCUUGAGUGAAGUAGAGGCAGGCGGAAUUCCUAGUGUAGCGGUGAAAUGCGUAGAUAUUAGGAGGAACACCAGUGGCGAAGGCGGCCUGCUGGGCUUUAACUGACGCUGAGGCUCGAAAGCGUGGGUAGCAAACAGG